AGCGAACGCUGGCGGCAGGCUUAACACAUGCAAGUCGAGCGCCCCGCAAGGGGAGCGGCAGACGGGUGAGUAACACGUGGGAACGUACCCUUUGGUUCGGAACAACCCAGGGAAACUCGGGCUAAUACCGGAUAAGUCCGCGAGGAGAAAGAUUUAUCGCCGAAGGAUCGGCCCGCGUCUGAUUAGCUAGUUGGUGUGGUAACGGCGCACCAAGGCGACGAUCAGUAGCUGGUCUGAGAGGAUGAUCAGCCACACUGGGACUGAGACACGGCCCAGACUCCUACGGGAGGCAGCAGUGGGGAAUAUUGGACAAUGGGGGCAACCCUGAUCCAGCCAUGCCGCGUGAGUGAUGAAGGCCCUAGGGUUGUAAAGCUCUUUCGGUGGGGAAGAUAAUGACGGUACCCACAGAAGAAGCCCCGGCUAACUUCGUG
Molecule: ribosomal RNA, 431 nt
Filed under: uncultured bacterium
Lineage: Bacteria
Description: partial 16S ribosomal RNA
Rfam family: Bacterial small subunit ribosomal RNA
Source: RNAcentral